RNAcentral lists this unclassified non-coding RNA (391 nucleotides) under uncultured Phycisphaeraceae bacterium. RNAcentral describes it as "contains 16S-23S intergenic spacer region". The record is from RNAcentral. Lineage: Bacteria; Pseudomonadati; Planctomycetota; Phycisphaerae; Phycisphaerales; Phycisphaeraceae.
UCCGGUUUGACACCGGCAGUCCCGCUAGAGUGCCCAGCGCCCGAAGGCCUGAUGGCAACUAACGGCAGGGGUUUCGCUCGUUAAGGGACUUAACCCGACACUUCACAGCACGAGCUGACGACAGCCAUGCAGCACCUGUGUAUGUUCCACGGUAAACCGCGUCACUCUGGUUUCUCAGAGCUAAUCCAUACAUGUCAAGCCCAGGAUAAGGUUCUUCGCGUUGCUUCGAAUUAAGCCACAUGCUCCACCGCUUGUGUGAGCCCCCGUCAAUUCCUUUGAGUUUUAGCCUUGCGACCGUACUCCCCAGGCGGUGCACUUAUUGUUUUUACUUCGGCCCCGUUGAUGUCAGCACCCUCGAGACCUAGUGCACAUUGUUUACGGCGUGGACUAC